CCGGCUCCUUGAUUUUGGACUGCCAGCCUCCAGAGCGGAGGGGACCUGGUGCCCCCACCAUCCCCCCUUCACAGUUGGAGCAUCAGUGGACACUCAGAGCAGACAGCGGAGCACAGGGACUCAGGCACUCACCAGCUCAGCUCCAAAGGUCUCCAGGCACAAGGAUAAUGGAAGCCAACCCUGAGGGAAACGUCUUUGAAAAAGUUGCCUGCUGUUCAUGUCUCCAGUUCUUAUCCUGCCUCAACCCACAGCAUCCUGGCAUCAGCCUCUACCAAGACGAGAAAACAAUGUUGACCAAGGUCACUGAUGAUGUCCAUACUAUGAAAGCCAGUGGAUGUGGCCCUUUCCUCUAU
This 353-nucleotide long non-coding RNA is filed under the name Equus caballus (horse). RNAcentral describes it as "lncRNA (ENSECAG00000045551.1)". The record is from RNAcentral. Lineage: Eukaryota; Metazoa; Chordata; Mammalia; Perissodactyla; Equidae.